Propithecus coquereli (Coquerel's sifaka) is the source of this 156-nucleotide RNA transcript. It is a transcript of the gene named 60S ribosomal protein L39 pseudogene, with no coding region annotated. Lineage: Eukaryota; Metazoa; Chordata; Mammalia; Primates; Indriidae. The transcript has a single exon. The record is from RefSeq and is a predicted model, not a curated record.
AUGUCUUCUCACAAGACUUUCAGGAUCAAGCAAUUUCUGGCCAAGGAACAAAAGCAAAAUCGUCCCAUUCCCCAGUGGAUUUGGAGGAAAACUGGUCAUAAAAUCAGGUACAACUCCAAGAGGAGACAUUGGAGAAGAACCAAGCUGGGUCAAUGA